UGGAAAUCACAGUAAAGACUAGAUUCCAUUAAAUUAUACUGUGAAGUUACUAGUUGAACAAUGUCCAACAUGAAUCAAUUGUGUCACAACUUGUGAUUGUGAACACUGAGGUGGUUUUAAUAAUUGAUGCAAAUGCAUAGCGAGUUUGUGUUGAUGAUUAGCUGAGUAGUGACCUCAUGCAACUAUAUCUGAACAGUUCUCUUAAUUUACACGAAAUAUAUUGUAAAAAACAAUAAUGAAAAUUUCCAUUGGUAUUGCUUUUCAUUGUUGACAGGCUUAUGCGAAGUUCUCCAGGGAUCUGGAGAGACAUCAAAUUAAAUAUUUUGAUCUCUCAACCGAAUUCUUUGACCUUCACAAUGAUUUUAUGGUCAUUUCCACUCAACAUGAGUCAGACUUGGAGGCGUUUGAGCUCAUUAAGAAACAGUUUGAAAUGGAUUUGGAAUCCCACGCAGAUACUAUUGAAGCAUACUGCAGUAAUGUCAAGGAAUGUACUGACCAGGGAUCCAGCUUUACCGAUUCUGACAACGUGAAUGAUGCUGAAUCCAUUCAUGAGCAGCGUGCUGAACUCUUUCAAAAGUAUCAGCAGGCAUAUGCUAGCUAUGUGGAAUCAUUCACAAAGUCUAAAAAGUUUUUUGAAGAUUUGAAGUCUACUGUUCAAAAUUUUUAGAGACGCUAUGCGCCACUCUAAUGAGGAUCCUCAGAGAACUAGCUAAACAGAUGGUAGAGCAACUAACUGUUCAAGGUGGUGCAGCAGUUGAUGAAGGUGUCCCUCAGUUUGAUAGUCAAAAAUACUUGUCCAUCAUGCAAUAGGUCAUGUGAAUGGAAGCAAGUGGUUUACCAUGUCUCUAUUACCACUAGUAGACUUUGACACCUUUAGUUGUUAUUUUCAGACCAUGCUGCUCUUGUUCAUUCCUGAAUUAAGGUGCUUUAUAUGCAUUCUCUAAUGUUCACAAAACCAAGUCAUUUCUAUGAAAGUUAGGCUCAUGGUAUAUC
Molecule: RNA transcript, 993 nt
Organism: Fragaria vesca subsp. vesca
Lineage: Eukaryota; Viridiplantae; Streptophyta; Magnoliopsida; Rosales; Rosaceae
Exons: 2
Source: RefSeq, a predicted model, not a curated record